This 473-nucleotide ribosomal RNA is filed under the name uncultured bacterium. Its description in RNAcentral is "partial 16S ribosomal RNA". It matches the Rfam family "Bacterial small subunit ribosomal RNA", at positions 355 to 825 of the family's 1533-position model. The record is from RNAcentral.
UGGGGAAUAUUGCGCAAUGGGCGAAAGCCUGACGCAGCAACGCCGCGUGAGUGAUGAAGGCCUUCGGGUCGUAAAGCUCUGUCGGAGGGAACGAAUGCUCUUGAGGUUAACAGCCUCGGGAGGUGACGGUACCCUCAAAGGAAGCACCGGCUAACUCUGUGCCAGCAGCCGCGGUAAUACAGAGGGUGCAAGCGUUGUUCGGAAUCAUUGGGCGUAAAGGGCGUGUAGGCGGUAUGUUAAGUCAUGUGUGAAAUCCCUCGGCUCAACCGGGGAACGACGCAUGAAACUAGCAAGCUAGAGUACCAAAGAGGGUGGUGGAAUUCCCGGUGUAGCGGCGAAAUGCGUAGAUAUCAAGAGGAACACCUGAGGUGAAGACGGGUUGCUGGGCUGACACUGACGCUGAGGCGCGAAAGCCAGGGGAGCAAACGGGAUUAGAUACCCCCGUAGUCCCUGAGCGGGCUGGCAAGGCGCAU